RNAcentral lists this long non-coding RNA (1227 nucleotides) under Monodelphis domestica (gray short-tailed opossum). RNAcentral describes it as "lncRNA (ENSMODG00000044988.1)". The record is from RNAcentral. Lineage: Eukaryota; Metazoa; Chordata; Mammalia; Didelphimorphia; Didelphidae.
AUGCCUCUGGCAUGCACUCGUCCGGCCCCCAAGCAAAAGAAGCUCCCAACCAGCUGGUUCUACCUGGAAGCCUUUUGGGGCUUCCAGGAAGGGUGGCCAAGGUCAGGGUCCGGCCCCGGGUUCCUCUCCACCCUGAGACCCUCCCUCCGCCUCCUGCUCCAGGGAGGGGCUCGGGCUGGAGGGAAGGAGCCUCUUAGGGUUCUCCAAGUUCAGUUCUACAGCUCAGGGGAGGUGGGGUUCCGAAGAUUGGGGUGCGGAGCCGAAGGCCUGGAAGGAGGGAAUCGAAGUCAGCGUGGAGGGAGGGAGGAAGGAGGCUGUGACUCACCUCCUGUAACCAUACACCCCUCCCGGUCUCCUUCUCCCCUCUAUGCCCAAUCACCUCCGGGCCGCCGGCCGCCGCUGCCCUCCCCUCUGCCAGCGACGCAUUUAAAGGAAAAUGAAAGGGCGGCCCCGGCGCCCCGAGUCCAAGCUUCAAGCUCUCCCCACCCCCCACGCCAGCCUCAGCUCGACCGUGACGGUGACGGUGCGCGCUCAAAAGGAGCCCCAGCCGGGGAGAGCUGUGUCCACCGGCAGCUAGAGGAAGCCGGGAAGACUCGGAGAGGGAGGAGUAGGAGGAAGAGGAGGAGGGGAGGAGCACUGAGGCAGCCGCUGGGGCUGGGGGCUGCAUCCUCUUCCCUCCUUUUCUUCCUAUUCCACCCCAAAGUCUCCAUCCUCUUCCCCCUCCUCUUUCCCGGCUGCACAAAGAGCGAGCUCAGACACGCAGACCCCUCCCCUCCGUCUCCUCCUCCUCCAAAUCCCGGGGGUCUCCGGGAAGGCUCCGCGGUAGCCGUCGCCGGCGGCGGCGGCGGCGGCGGCGGCGGCUGGGAGGCGGGGGAAGCCCUAGACGCGCCGGCCGCUCCUCCCCGCCCGCCCGUCCUGGGGGGCCGGGGCCAGCGAGCCGCCCCGCCCCUGAGCCCCGCCCCGCGAGCUUUCCCGGGAGGGGCCGGGGGCGCGGCGGCCGGCCAGCCCUCCCCUUACUUCCCUGCCUCCGCCCUCCCCUUCACCAACCCCAGCGGCUCGGCUGCCCCCUCCGCCACCUCUGCUGAGCCUCGGCUGCGGGUGAGCGGACGGGCGAGCGGCCGGUGCGGGCCGGGCCGGGCCGGGCUGGGGCGGGGCGCGCGACUCUGCCAGAUGUGCAGCAGCAGCAGCAGCGGCCACAGCCACAGCAACCUCCGCAGCCGUCAGUGA